CCUACGGGUGGCUGCAGUGGGGAAUCUUCCGCAAUGGGCGAAAGCCUGACGGAGCAACGCCGCGUGAUCGAAUGAAGGCCUUCGGGUUGUAAAGAUCUGUUGCCAGGGACGAAUCAUCAAUGCGAAUAGUUUUGUGUAUGACGGUACCUGUAUAGAAAGCUCCGGCUAACUACGUGCCAGCAGCCGCGGUAAUACGUAGGGAGGAAGCGUUGUCCGGAAUUACUGGGCGUAAAGGGGGCGUCGGGGGGCGCUGAAAUCAGGUGGGAAAACGUCGGGGUUAACCUGGGUACAGCACUUGAAACUGGGUGUCUUGAGGGGAGGAGAGGAAAGUGGAAUUCCUGGUGUAGCGGUGAAAUGCGUAGAUAUCAGGCGGAACGCCAGUGGCGAAGGCGACUUUCUGGACUGUGCCUGACGCUGAGGCGCGAAAGCGUGGGGAGCGAACGGGAUUAGAUACCCGAGUAGUC
This 464-nucleotide ribosomal RNA is filed under the name uncultured bacterium. Its description in RNAcentral is "partial 16S ribosomal RNA". It matches the Rfam family "Bacterial small subunit ribosomal RNA", at positions 338 to 795 of the family's 1533-position model. The record is from RNAcentral.